UUAGAAAAGUUAAUUUUGAAUUAAUUUUUGUAAAAUUAAUAUAAUUUCAGUUUUAAUUGUUAAAAUAAAAACUGAAAUUGAAUUAUAAUUUUGAAAUUUGUUUCCAACUUUAAAAAAUAAAGAACAUUGGAAUUUGGAAAACUCACUGGGAUAUUUCCACUAAGAGUUCCUAACCAUCUUAGUCAUUAAAAUCCACCUAGUUCCACCAAGUAAGAGGUGUAAUUCAUGUAAGAAAUCCAUUUUCAUGAAAGUCAUGUAAUAAAUAAAACAAAUUGGAGUGGAAAUCGAACCUGCAUUGAAAAGAUUUUUGUUAAAAAAAUCUGUUUGAAGAAGUGGUCUUCAUCUAUUGAAAACCAGAAAACCUUUCUCGUCCAUUUUCCUAAUUCAAAGUUAUUUUGAGUCCCACAACUCAAUAUAAGGCACCAAGAGAUAGUAGGGAAGACCUUAUGGUGGUUCACAUCCAAAGGAAUGGAGGAUUGCAGUUGGAAUUUGUGAUUCAAGAGGUACUUCAAAGAUUCAAUAGGAAUUUCUGCAAUCUUGCUACCAAGUAAUCAUGUUUCUUCAAGUAAGUCAAGAACAUACUUUCUCUGUUUAACAAAGAUCUCUUUUUUUAAAUCUUGCAAACUCCAUUUCUAGGAAAUAUUUCAACAUUUCCAGGUCCUUAAUUUGAGACUCGCAUGCCAAUUUUUUCUUGAGAUCAAUUAAACUUGCUGCAUCAUCACCUGAGAAUAAUAUUAUCUAAAUAAACAAUCAAAAUUGAGAAUUUAUUAUUCUUCAAUUAUUUAUAAAAUAACAUAUGAUCUGCUUAACUUUGAAGAAAUCGAUAACUGGACACAACUUUUCCAAGACAUUCAAACUAAGCUCUUGUGGACUGAUUAAGGCCAUAAAGAGAUUUCAUUAAUUUGAGAUUUUUUUAUAGCCAAGGUCCUUUUCAAAACCUGGUGAUAAACUUAUAAACACCUUUUCCUCAAGAUCGCCAUUUAGAAGGGCAUUUUUCAUGUCAAGUUGGUAAAGUGACCAAUCUAAAUUAACUGCAAGAGAUAGAAAAAAACUCCAAUAGAGUUAAUAGCAAUAAGAGUCAAUGUUUCCUGAUCAUCAAUUCCGUAUGUCUGAUUGAAUCCUUUAGCUAUUAAUCUGGUCUUAUAUCUCUCAAUACUACCAUCAACAUUAAAUUUUAUGGUGAACAUUUACAACCCAUUGAUUUCUCAUUUUUAGGAAAUUCUACUAUUUCCCAAGUUCCAUUUUUUUAGAGCAUUCAUCUCCCCCGUAAUUGCUAAUUUUCUAUUUGGAUCAUCUAAAGCCUCAUGUUAUUUGGAACAAACAAUUCAUCUAUCUUGGAUAUGAAAGCGAGGAUUUACCACUGGUGGUGUUGAUCGAGCUCGGGAGAGGAAGAUUGUGGUGGAUUCUACAAAGAGGAAACCCUCAUGGUUGUGCCCAAAGAAGAUCUUAUUUCGUUAUGGUCAAAUUGUCAUGACAAUGAGAAGGAUUCAUGAUCUUACUGUAGACUUCGUUUUUCAAGGGUAAAUUCACCAAUGUCCUAUAUUUCCUCUAGUUUUCACAGAGAAUAACAUGCCUAAUUAAAUUUGGUUAAUCCAUGUUUCUGUCC
Benincasa hispida (wax gourd) is the source of this 1606-nucleotide long non-coding RNA. RefSeq lists it as uncharacterized. The record is from RefSeq and is a predicted model, not a curated record. NCBI's taxonomy places the organism in Eukaryota, Viridiplantae, Streptophyta, Magnoliopsida, Cucurbitales, Cucurbitaceae.